This 499-nucleotide ribosomal RNA is filed under the name uncultured bacterium. Its description in RNAcentral is "partial 16S ribosomal RNA". It matches the Rfam family "Bacterial small subunit ribosomal RNA", at positions 28 to 507 of the family's 1533-position model. The record is from RNAcentral.
GACGAACGCUGGCGGCGUGCCUAAUACAUGCAAGUCGAGCGAAGUUUUUCUGGUGCUUGCACUAGAAAAACUUAGCGGCGAACGGGUGAGUAACACGUAAAGAACCUGCCUCAUAGACUGGGACAACUAUUGGAAACGAUAGCUAAUACCGGAUAACAGUAUUUCUCGCAUGAGAGAUAUUUAAAAGUUGGUUAUGCUAACACUAUGAGAUGGCUUUGCGGUGCAUUAGCUAGUUGGUGGGGUAAAGGCCCACCAAGGCGACGAUGCAUAGCCGACCUGAGAGGGUGAUCGGCCACACUGGAACUGAGACACGGCCCAGACUCCUACGGGAGGCAGCAGUAGGGAAUCUUCCACAAUGGGCGAAAGCCUGACGGAGCAACGCCGCGUGAGUGAAGAAGGAUUUCGGUUCGUAAAGCUCUGUUGUUAGGGAAGAAUGGAUAUGUAGUAACUAUACAUGUAAGAGACGGUACCUAACCAGAAAGCCACGGCUAACUACGUG